UGCAGGUGGGCAGUUCGGCUGGGGCGGCACCCCUUUGAAAAGAUAUCAAAGGGGCCCAAAGUUGAGUUCAAACGGGGCAGAAAUCCGUUGAAGAGGGCAAAGCCAAAAACUCGACUGAAUGGAUUUCCAAACGCACGGAAUUCAUAGACGAAAGUCUGGCUUAGCGAUCCUUCGUGUGCCCACUAUUGGGGCCCGGAGGUGACAGAAAAAUUACCCCAGGGAUAACAGGCUCGUCGCGGGCGAGAGCUCCUAUCGACCCCGCGGUUUGGUACCUCGAUGUCGGCUUUUCCUAUCCUGGUCCUGCAGCAGGGGCCAAGGGUGAGGCUGCUCGCCUAUUAAAAGGGAACAUGAGCUGGGUUUAGACCGUCGUGAGACAGGUCGGUCUCUGCCUGAUGGAAGCGUGAAUAACUGAGGGGAAGUUGCUCCGAGUACGAGAGGAACAGAGCAGCGUGGCCACUGGUUUACCGGUUGUCUGACAAGGCAGGCCGGGCAGCUAAGCCGUUUAGGCUAAGUGCUGAAAGCAUCUAAGCACGAAUCCUAUCCCGAGACAAGUUAUUCUUUCGUAAGAUGAAGGUCGGCAGCAGAAGACUGCGUUGAUAGGAAGGUGGUGUAGAUCACAAGCUUCGGCGAGUGGUGAGCCAGCCUUUACUAAUAGACCAACACAUCGGUUCA
This 672-nucleotide ribosomal RNA is filed under the name Candidatus Nitrosopumilus sp. RNAcentral describes it as "Nitrosopumilus sp. partial 23S ribosomal RNA". It matches the Rfam family "Archaeal large subunit ribosomal RNA", at positions 2322 to 2987 of the family's 2987-position model. Lineage: Archaea; Thermoproteati; Nitrososphaerota; Nitrososphaeria; Nitrosopumilales; Nitrosopumilaceae. The record is from RNAcentral.